CCUGAACGCUGGCGGCGUGGCUAAGACAUGCAAGUCGUACGGGUGUAGCAAUACACCAGUGGCGAACGGGUGAGUAAUGUAUCGCUAAUGUGCCCCGGAUUCUGGGAUAGCUAUCCGAAAGGGUAGGUAAUACCAGAUGAUAUAACCUUGUCGCAUGGCAGGGUUCUCAAAGGAGCAAUCCGCUCUGGGAGCAGGCGAUAUCGUAUCAGCUUGUUGGUGAGGUAAUGGCUCACCAAGGCGACGACGCGUAGCCGGACUGAGAGGUUGGCCGGCCACA
RNAcentral lists this ribosomal RNA (277 nucleotides) under uncultured bacterium. Its description in RNAcentral is "partial 16S ribosomal RNA". It matches the Rfam family "Bacterial small subunit ribosomal RNA", at positions 30 to 312 of the family's 1533-position model. The record is from RNAcentral.